Molecule: non-coding RNA, 107 nt
Organism: Capsicum annuum
Lineage: Eukaryota; Viridiplantae; Streptophyta; Magnoliopsida; Solanales; Solanaceae
Source: Rfam
GUCUGUUGAUGAGGUCAAUUCCUAAGCAUACCCUUGAAUCUUACCCAAGCUUGGUAAAGGUUCUCUCUAUCUUUUUACCUGAAACUCAGAAUCUCACUUCUCAAAUU